Long non-coding RNA from Homarus americanus (American lobster), 175 nucleotides. RefSeq lists it as uncharacterized. Lineage: Eukaryota; Metazoa; Arthropoda; Malacostraca; Decapoda; Nephropidae. The transcript has 2 exons. The record is from RefSeq and is a predicted model, not a curated record.
UCCAUCCCCGUAUGCCGACCCAUCUCUUCUACUACCUUUCAGAUGGAGAACCAUCGUCAUGGGUGUAAACACUGAAAACAACAAUGAUGUCCCAUCUCCACUUGUGUGACUCCAUAUUAUUAUUGAUUGAUAUUAUGUAAGGUGCCUUAAUAACCAUUAAAGAAUAUAGCUUUUA